This 45-nucleotide non-coding RNA is filed under the name Schistosoma haematobium. The record is from RNAcentral. Lineage: Eukaryota; Metazoa; Platyhelminthes; Trematoda; Strigeidida; Schistosomatidae.
AUCCAGUUGACGAGUCCCCAAUAGGACGAAACGCGCAUCCUGGAU